UUUUUAUUGGAUGAUAAGUGUCACAUGUCAUGUUCUGAUUGAAUGUCAACUCCAUUAAAGAUGAAAUGCAUUGUUGUUUUCAUUGACCAAUCAGAACAUGACACGUGACAAUUAUCAUCC
Molecule: non-coding RNA, 120 nt
Organism: Glycine max (soybean)
Lineage: Eukaryota; Viridiplantae; Streptophyta; Magnoliopsida; Fabales; Fabaceae
Source: Rfam